GAGUAGUAAAAGUUAAGAACUAUAAACUCAAAAGAUUUGGCGGUAUUUUAUCUUAUCAGAGGAACCUGUUUAUUAAUUGAUAGUCCACAUUAAAUCUACUUUUUUUAUUUUACUUGUAUACCGCUGUCAUGAAUAUAUUAAUAAAUUUACUUUCUCGUUUUCCGACGGUUUAUGUUAGGUCAAGGUGCAGUGUAAAGAGUUAAAUGGGUUACAUUAUAUGAAUGGAGCAAAAAGGAUUUGAAAGUAAAGUUAUAUAGGUUAAUGAAUUUAGAUUCUAAAAUAUG
RNAcentral lists this ribosomal RNA (284 nucleotides) under Bactericera distinctissima. Its description in RNAcentral is "partial 12S ribosomal RNA". Lineage: Eukaryota; Metazoa; Arthropoda; Insecta; Hemiptera; Triozidae. The record is from RNAcentral.